RNAcentral lists this transfer RNA (72 nucleotides) under Marmota monax (woodchuck). RNAcentral describes it as "tRNA.Ala". Lineage: Eukaryota; Metazoa; Chordata; Mammalia; Rodentia; Sciuridae. The record is from RNAcentral.
UGGGGUGUAGCUCAGUGGUAGAGUACUUGCCUGGCAUGUGUGAAGCAGUGGAUUCGAUCAUCAGCACUGCAU